UCCCUUUCCUCUCAUUUGUUUUCUUUCUUUUUCUCACAAACACACAAACACUCCCUCACACUCUCCCACCAGUACCUCCAUGCCACCAUCUCCACCAUCAUUUUUUCCAGCAAUGUCACCGGAAAAUCCUUAGGAACCUCUAAGCAUCUUCAUCUUUUAUUUGAGAUUUUCAGAUUUAUUAGCUAUACCUUGGGUAUGGAGCUCACUUCUUUGGUGAUGAUUAGAGUGCUAUGUUAAAUUUGGAGACUUUUGCUGUAAAUGGUUGGUGACUCAAUCUUGCUAUGUUCAACGAGACCUUAAUUAAUUCUAUUGGAGUGCUUGAGGUUUGUUAGCCUUUGGCGUGGUAGGCCUAGACUCAAUGUUAAGGUCCUUAUUUUUGAUAAGAUUGUGACUUUGUGUAAUUUAAUCAGAGUUUUGUAAUAUAUUCAUGUAUUAUGUGGAGGCACAUGAUUUUUAGUUA
Molecule: long non-coding RNA, 460 nt
Organism: Quercus robur (English oak)
Lineage: Eukaryota; Viridiplantae; Streptophyta; Magnoliopsida; Fagales; Fagaceae
Exons: 2
Source: RefSeq, a predicted model, not a curated record